GACGAACGCUGGCGGCGUGCUUAACACAUGCAAGUCGAACGGAAAGGCCCUGCUUUUGUGGGGUGCUCGAGUGGCGAACGGGUGAGUAACACGUGAGUAACCUGCCCUUGACUUUGGGAUAACUUCAGGAAACUGGGGCUAAUACCGGAUAUGAGCUCCUGCUGCAUGGUGGGGGUUGGAAAGUUUCGGCGGUUGGGGAUGGACUCGCGGCUUAUCAGCUUGUUGGUGGGGUAGUGGCUUACCAAGGCUUUGACGGGUAGCCGGCCUGAGAGGGUGACCGGCCACAUUGGGACUGAGAUACGGCCCAGACGCCUACGGGAGGCAGCAGUGGGGAAUAUUGCACAAUGGGCGGAAGCCUGAUGCAGAAACGCCGCGUGCGGGAUGACGGCCUUCGGGUUGUAAACCGCUUUCGCCUGUGACGAAGCGUGAGUGACGGUAAUGGGUAAAGAAGCACCGGCUAACUACGUG
RNAcentral lists this ribosomal RNA (468 nucleotides) under uncultured bacterium. RNAcentral describes it as "partial 16S ribosomal RNA". It matches the Rfam family "Bacterial small subunit ribosomal RNA", at positions 28 to 507 of the family's 1533-position model. The record is from RNAcentral.